This 258-nucleotide long non-coding RNA is filed under the name Elaeis guineensis (African oil palm). RNAcentral's name for it is "long non-coding RNA (EGUI_LNC061957)". Lineage: Eukaryota; Viridiplantae; Streptophyta; Magnoliopsida; Arecales; Arecaceae. The record is from RNAcentral.
UGCUCCCCAUCUCUCAUGAAAAAUGACUUUCUUUACAUCCUCUGUUAAGCAUACCCGAGUACUUUUCGAGAGGAUUGGAGAUCCUACUAUGUGUACGAGGUAGAGAAAUUUACGUCUACUGGCUCAUCAUGAUAAAUAGGUUCUUAAGGUUCCAAGGCUCGUUGCUCUUCAGGAACACUCUCUUUGAGCUUAACUUUUCUCUCAUAGUUUUAUCUUGGUUAAAUAAUUUUUCAAGAAGAUAGCAUGCCGAUCACAAUC